CCUACGGGAGGCAGCAGUGGGGAAUAUUGCUCAAUGGGGGAAACCCUGAAGCAGCCACGCCGCGUGAAGGAUGAAGGCUUUAGGAGUUUUAAGCCCUUUUUGUAGGGAAGAAAAUGACGGUACCUGACGAAGAAGCACAGGCUAACUCCGUGCCAGCAGCCGCGGCAAUACGGAGGGAGCCAGCGUUAUUCGGAGUAACUGGGUGUAAAGCGGGCGUAGGCGGCAUAGCAAGUCAGAGGUGAAAUCCAAUGGCUAAACCAUAGAACUGCAUUUGAAACUGUUAAGCUAGAGGGUAGGAGAGGUAGGCGGAAUGCGUGGUGUAGCGGUGAAAUGCGUAGAGAUCAAGAGGAACACCGAUGGCGAAGGCGGCCUACUAGACUAUAACUGACGUUGAUGCACGAAAGCGUGGGGAGCAAACAGGAUUAGAUACCCCUGUAGUC
RNAcentral lists this ribosomal RNA (440 nucleotides) under uncultured bacterium. Its description in RNAcentral is "partial 16S ribosomal RNA". It matches the Rfam family "Bacterial small subunit ribosomal RNA", at positions 338 to 795 of the family's 1533-position model. The record is from RNAcentral.